Molecule: long non-coding RNA, 681 nt
Organism: Dalotia coriaria
Lineage: Eukaryota; Metazoa; Arthropoda; Insecta; Coleoptera; Staphylinidae
Exons: 2
Source: RefSeq, a predicted model, not a curated record
UACUUUUGUACCGCAUUAACAUUUAUGGGUUCGUCGAUGUUUAUUCCAUCAUACACCGGCGUGUCUCGGCCUAAUUUAUAACGCUGUCUUGUAAGCCACGUAAACUAGGUGUAUACGUACACCCUUCGUGAUCAACAGGGGCAUAAUGAAAGAAAAGUUGCUGUUGAGAGAAUUAUGCGUUAGUCACCCACGAAAUCGUGUUGAACGGCGCAAAAUCACACGGUACGUGCAAUAAAACUUAAUUGCUUGCUUGUUCAAAGCUCGCAUCAACCGCGUCGAGAGCCGACUUUGCGAAUUCAUUCCCCCGCGGUGUUUUAAUACGUUUAAUGGUCGUAGAGAACGCGCACGCGGCGAACGAGUCGUAAAUUACAAAACGGCGCCACACGUUCUGCGCCACAAUCAAUAAAUCGCCAAAGAAUAUCAACAUGUUGUUCCAGGUUCAGUCAAUGUUUAAUGGACCAUUAAUUAUUGAGCACCUCUCCAAUAUACUCUACUAGUACAUGUCUACAAAACUUAUUGUUUUACGAGCUCAAUCCUAAGUACCACACAAUGGAAGGGCGCGCUUUCGAUUCGUAUUUUCAUUUGUCCUGGUUAUUGUUGGAUUAGUAACAGCAUGUUUCUAUAAUUCAUUCGAAAUUGAUUUACGUUUAAUGAAAAAUUGAUUAAAAUUUUAUUCUAAAA